GACGAACGCUGGCGGCGUGCCUAAUACAUGCAAGUCGAGCGCAGGAAACUGACGGAACUCUUCGGAGGGAAGGCAGUGGAAUGAGCGGCGGACGGGUGAGUAACACGUAAGGAACCUGCCUCAAGGAUUGGGAUAACUCCGAGAAAUCGGAGCUAAUACCGGAUAGUUCAACGGACCGCAUGGUCGGCUGAUGAAAGGCGCUUAGGCGUUACCGUGAGAUGGCCUUGCGGUGCAUUAGCUAGUUGGUGGGGUAACGGCCCACCAAGGCGACGAUGCAUAGCCGACCGGAGAGGGUGAUCGGCCAAACUGGGACUGAGACACGGCCCAGACUCCUACGGGAGGCAGCAGUAGGGAAUCUUCCACAAUGGACGAAAGUCUGAUGGAGCAACGCCGCGUGAGUGAUGAAGGUUUUCGGAUCGUAAAACUCUGUUGUAAGGGAAGAACACGUACGAGAGGGAAUGCUCGUACCUUGACGGUACCUUACGAGAAAGCCACGGCUAACUACGUGCCAGCAGCCGCCGCGG
This 524-nucleotide ribosomal RNA is filed under the name uncultured bacterium. RNAcentral describes it as "partial 16S ribosomal RNA". It matches the Rfam family "Bacterial small subunit ribosomal RNA", at positions 28 to 523 of the family's 1533-position model. The record is from RNAcentral.